CCUACGGGUGGCAGCAGUAGGGAAUAUUGGACAAUGGGCGAAAGCCUGAUCCAGCCAUGCCGCGUGAGUGACGAAGGUCUUCGGAUUGUAAAACUCUUUUAUGAGGGAAGAACAUCCCGGGGAGGAAAUGCCCCGGGCUUGACGGUACCUCAGGAAUAAGGGACGGCUAACUCCGUGCCAGCAGCCGCGGUAAUACGGAGGUCCCGAGCGUUGUUCGGAAUUACUGGGCGUAAAGGGGGCGCAGGCGGACAGGUCAGUGGAAAGUGGAAGCCCGGGGCUCAACCCCGGAAAGCCUUUCCAUACUGCCUGUCUUGAGUUCGUGAGAGGAGAGCGGAAUUCAGGGUGUAGCGGUGAAAUGCUUAGAUAUCCUGAGGAACACCAAUGGCGAAAGCAGCUCUCUGGCGCGUUACUGACGCUGAGGCCCGAAAGCGUGGGGAGCGAACGGGAUUAGAUACCCCAGUAGUCCAC
Molecule: ribosomal RNA, 468 nt
Filed under: uncultured bacterium
Lineage: Bacteria
Description: bacterial SSU rRNA
Rfam family: Bacterial small subunit ribosomal RNA
Source: RNAcentral